RNAcentral lists this ribosomal RNA (468 nucleotides) under uncultured bacterium. Its description in RNAcentral is "partial 16S ribosomal RNA". It matches the Rfam family "Bacterial small subunit ribosomal RNA", at positions 28 to 507 of the family's 1533-position model. The record is from RNAcentral.
GACGAACGCUGGCGGCGUGCUUAACACAUGCAAGUCGAACGGAAAGGCCCUGCUUUUGUGGGGUGCUCGAGUGGCGAACGGGUGAGUAACACGUGAGUAACCUGCCCUUGACUUUGGGAUAACUUCAGGAAACUGGGGCUAAUACCGGAUAGGAGCUCCUGCUGCAUGGUGGGGGUUGGAAAGUUUCGGCGGUUCGGGAUGGACUCGCGGCUUAUCAGCUUGUUGGUGGGGUAGUGGCUUACCAAGGCUUUGACGGGUAGCCGGCCUGAGAGGGUGACCGGCCACAUUGGGACUGAGAUACGGCCCAGACUCCUACGGGAGGCAGCAGUGGGGAAUAUUGCACAAUGGGCGGAAGCCUGAUGCAGCAACGCCGCGUGCGGGAUGACGGCCUUCGGGUUGUAAACCGCUUUCGCCUGUGACGAAGCGUGAGUGACGGUAAUGGGUAAAGAAGCACCGGCUAACUACGUG